GAUGAACGCUGGCGGCGUGCCUAAUACAUGCAAGUCGAGCGAACGGACGAGAAGCUUGCUUCUCUGAUGUUAGCGGCGGACGGGUGAGUAACACGUGGGUAACCUACCUAUCAGACUGGGAUAACUUCGGGAAACCGUAGCUAAUACCGGAUAAUAUUUUUAACCGCAUGGUUCAAAAGUGAAAGACGGUCUUGCUGUCACUUAUAGAUGGAUCCGCGCUGCAUUAGCUAGUUGGUAAGGUAACGGCUUACCAAGGCAACGAUGGAUAGCCGACCUGAGAGGGUGCACGGCUACGAUGGAACGGAGAGACGGGCCAGACGCCUACGGGAGGCGGCAGUAGGGAAUCUUCCGCAAUGGGCGAAAGGCUGACGGAGCAACGCCGCGUGAGUGAUGAAGGUCUUCGGAUCGUAAAACUCUGUUAUUAGGGAAGAACAUAUGUGUAAGUAACUGUGCACAUCUUGACGGUACCUAAUCAGAAAGCCACGGCUAACUACGUG
This 497-nucleotide ribosomal RNA is filed under the name uncultured bacterium. RNAcentral describes it as "partial 16S ribosomal RNA". It matches the Rfam family "Bacterial small subunit ribosomal RNA", at positions 28 to 507 of the family's 1533-position model. The record is from RNAcentral.